RNAcentral lists this ribosomal RNA (229 nucleotides) under uncultured bacterium. RNAcentral describes it as "partial 16S ribosomal RNA". It matches the Rfam family "Bacterial small subunit ribosomal RNA", at positions 568 to 796 of the family's 1533-position model. The record is from RNAcentral.
UGCGCAGGCGGCCUGAUAAGUCAGGGGUGAAAUAUGACGGCUCAACCGUCAAACGGCCCCUGAAACUGUCUGGCUUGAGUCCGGGAGAGGAUGGUGGAAUUCCUGGUGUAGCGGUGAAAUGCGUAAAUAUCAGGAGGAACACCGAUGGCGAAGGCAGCCAUCUGGCCCGGUACUGACGCUCAGGCACGAAAGCUAGGGGAGCGAACAGGAUUAGAUACCCUGGUAGUCC